This 682-nucleotide ribosomal RNA is filed under the name Bacillus sp. A60T6B-1. RNAcentral describes it as "bacterial SSU rRNA". It matches the Rfam family "Bacterial small subunit ribosomal RNA", at positions 56 to 722 of the family's 1533-position model. The record is from RNAcentral. Lineage: Bacteria; Bacillati; Bacillota; Bacilli; Caryophanales; Bacillaceae.
UGCAGUCGAGCGGACAGAAGGGAGCUUGCUCCCGGAUGUUAGCGGCGGACGGGUGAGUAACACGUGGGUAACCUGCCUGUAAGACUGGGAUAACUCCGGGAAACCGGAGCUAAUACCGGAUAGUUCCUUGAACCGCAUGGUUCAAGGAUGAAAGACGGUUUCGGCUGUCACUUACAGAUGGACCCGCGGCGCAUUAGCUAGUUGGUGGGGUAAUGGCUCACCAAGGCGACGAUGCGUAGCCGACCUGAGAGGGUGAUCGGCCACACUGGGACUGAGACACGGCCCAGACUCCUACGGGAGGCAGCAGUAGGGAAUCUUCCGCAAUGGACGAAAGUCUGACGGAGCAACGCCGCGUGAGUGAUGAAGGUUUUCGGAUCGUAAAGCUCUGUUGUUAGGGAAGAACAAGUGCGAGAGUAACUGCUCGCACCUUGACGGUACCUAACCAGAAAGCCACGGCUAACUACGUGCCAGCAGCCGCGGUAAUACGUAGGUGGCAAGCGUUGUCCGGAAUUAUUGGGCGUAAAGGGCUCGCAGGCGGUUUCUUAAGUCUGAUGUGAAAGCCCCCGGCUCAACCGGGGAGGGUCAUUGGAAACUGGGAAACUUGAGUGCAGAAGAGGAGAGUGGAAUUCCACGUGUAGCGGUGAAAUGCGUAGAGAUGUGGAGGAACACCAGUGGCGAAGGC